UUCCUGCAAGGAGGGAAGGCGGGCGGGUGCAGAGUUGUCCUAGGUAGAGAGACUGGGCAGAGGGUCAGAGUAGGAGGACUGGCUCUGUCUUUCUCAUUCACUGAUCUUCUCCCUGGGGUCCUAGAGGGUCUGAACACCCAGCUCCCUGCCCCUUCCCGCUUCUCUGUGGCUGCAGCCUCCUACCAUCCCUCCUGAUUCUGGUUAGCAUUUGAGGGGACUCAGCUCACUGACCUUGACCCUGAAAGUUGUCAGGCUCAGAACCCCUUUUCUGAGGCCAAACGCUGCUAAUUUCCAUCUCCUGAGGCUGCCUGCGGUCUGUGAGCCCUCCCUGGGUCCCUCACUCUCCCAGCUUGUAGCUGGCUCCCUCCACGCCUGUCCCUCCCCACAGGGGCAUCUGUCACCUCACAGUGGGGGACGCUGGAGCUCCUUGGGUAUCCGGGUGCUGCUCCCAGUGCCUGUGGCCUUGGGGACGCCGGAAGGGUAGAAAGCCCAGUUACUGCCCUCCCAUAACUCCCAGAAGCAGUGGAAGGAGGGUGCCCAGCCCAUCUGGUGCACAAUACCGCGCCUGGCCCUAACUAUGCCUCUUUAUAUUAUCUUUCUAGCAAUUGCCUUGCGGAUUACAAUACGUAGCCUUACAGCUAUGAACAAGCCCCCAGCUCCCAGGUGAGCACCCUACCACAGUCUAUGUACAGUUAAUAUGGGGCCACUUUACCUAAAAUGUGAGAUCCCCACAGCAGUAAAUUCCAUUAUUCCCAUACUUUGUGUUAUCGUUGUCAUACACCAAGCAAUACAUUUCCUCACAUAGUGCAUUAUUUCAAGUGAAUUAAUUAUAUAUAUAUUUUGAGACAGGGUCUCUGUCUGUUGCCCAGGCUGGAGUGCAGUGGCAUGAUCUUGGUUCACUGCAACCUUGAACUCCUGGGCUUAAGUGAUCCUCCCACUUCUGCCUCCUGAGUAGCUGGGACCACAGGCACAUGCCACCACACCCAGCUCAUUUUAAAAUCUUUUUGUACAAAUGGGGUCUUGAUAUAUUGCCCAGGCUGGUAUGGAACUUCUGGUCUCAAGCCAUCCUCCCACCUUGGCCUCCCAAAGUACUGGGAUUACAGGUGUGAGCUACCACACCUGGCCUGUUUUUAAUUUAGAUAGCUUUGUUCAAAGAAAUUAAAAGAAGAAAUAAAUACAUCAUUUUGUAUUUGCAGAUGCUUUUCAUUUCUUCCAGCAGAGAAUUUCUAUCAGGCAUCAGGUCUCUUCAAUUUCACCACCUUCCCUCAGGAUCUGCUGUGGUGUCAUUCACUGAUGACGAAUCUCUCAGCUUCCAUUUGUCUAACGGGUCUUUAAUGUCACCCUCGUUUCUGAAGGACAUUUUAACAAGAUGGAUAAUUCUGGCUUGGCACUUUUUUCUUUUAGUGCCUUAAAGGUGCUGUCCCAUUGUCUUCUGGGUUCCAUUGUUUCUGGGACAAAUCUGCUGUCAUUCGUGUUGUUGUAUGUCAUUUGUUCACCCCUCUGGUUGCUUUAAGAUGUUCUCUUUAUCUUUUUUUUUCAGGAACUUGACCAAGAUGUGCCUUCUUAGGGGUGGUUCUCUUUCUAUUUUUCCUCUUGGGAUUUGUUGAGCUUCUUGGGAAUUUUUCUGCUGUUAUUUCUUCAAAUACCUGUGUAUAUUUGUCCCAUUCAUUCUCUGUAUUCUCUGGGAGUCCAAUCACAUGUAUGCUAGAUGGCCUGAAAUUGUCCCACUGGUCACUGAAGUUUUCUUCAUUUAUUUUUUUAAUUUUUAAAAGUUUUUUAGAGGCCAGGUGCAGUGGCUCACGCCUGUAAUCCCAGCAUGUUGGGAGGCCGAGGUGGGCAGAUCCAGAGGUCAGGAGAUCGAGACCAUCCUGGCCAACAUGGUGAAACCCCGUCUCUACUAAAAAUACAAUAAAAAUACAAAACUUAGCCAGGCAUAGUGGUGGGUGCCUGUAGUCCCAGCUACUCAGGAGGCUGAGGCAGGAGAAUUGGUUGAUCCCAGGAGGUGGAGGUUGCGGUGAGCUGAGAUUGUGGCACUGCACUCCAGCCUAGGUGACAGAGUGAGACUCCAUCUCUUCUAGAAAAAAUUUUUUUUCUUUCUUUUUUUUAUUUUGAGAGGGAGUCUCACUCUGUCGCCCAGGCUGGUCUCAAACUCCUGGGCUCAAGUGAUGCUGCCACUUCGCCCUCCCAAAGUACCGGAAUUACAGGUGUGAGCCAUGAUGCUCAGCUCAGCUCUCAUCGUUUGAAACAGAGUUUUGUUUUUUGUUUUCCCUGCUGUUCCUUAGAUUGGAUAAUUUCCUUAGAUUGGAUAAUUUUCUUUGGUCUAUACUUGAGUUCACUAAUCCUGCUUUGGCAGUUUCCAAUCUGCUGUUGUGCCUGCCUGUAAGUUUUAUUUCCAGAUAUGCUGCGUUUCAGAUCUAGGAUCUCCACUUGAUUAUUACUGUUUUUUUUUUUCGCAUUCCUCUGCUAGGAUUCUCCAUCAGCUCACUCAUUCUAGCAAACAUUUCUUUUACAUGUUUAUGUCACUGCUUUUAAAAGCCCCUGUGUGUAAAUUCCAAACCUCUAAGCCAUCUCAGGGUCUGUUUCUAUGAAGUACUUCUUCUCUUAUUACGGGUCCCAUUUCCCUGGUUCUCUGCGUGCCUAGCAGUUCUUGGUUUUGCGCUGGGCUCUGUGUCUGGCAUGUGGUAGACAGGGCUGUGGUGCUGUCCUGCAAGGGGGCUGAUUUCACUCUGGUGGGCAGGUAGAUUACUGGUGGAUCAUUUUGGCCCUGCCAGGCUUUAUCUUGUACUUUGCUAGGGGAGGAUUCGUUUUUGAACUUAGUCCUGAAGUACAAUCUUAAUUUUAGGGUGUGGCCUUUCUGGGGUCUCAACUGAACACCCAAGAUGUUCAGAAAAGCCUCUCUGCGGCCUCCUGUCUCUCAGGUCACAGCUCUUUGCUGCCUGUUGUUUGGUGCCUGGAAACAUUUGCUCAUGCAUUAUAUCCAGUUUAUACAGCUGUCAGGAGCCUGGAAUGGCACCCACAUCCCCAGGUGAGCAUCUGACAGCCUGGAACAGCACCCCACACCCCAGGGGAGCAUCUUACAGCCUGGAACAGCACCCCACACCCCAGGGGAGCAUCUUACAGCCUGGAACAGAACCCCACACCUUCAGGGGAGCAUCGUACAGCCUGGAACGGCAUCCAUACCCACAGGUGAAUGUGUGACAGCCUGAAACAGCAUUCUCCAACCCCAGGUGAGGAUCUGACAACCUGGAAUAGAACCCCACACCCACAGGUGAGCAUCUGACAGCCUGAAACAGCACCGCACACUCCCAGGUGAGCACAGGUGAACAUCUGACAGCCUGGAAUGGCACCCACACUCACAGGUGAGUGUGGGACAGACUGGAGCAGCAUUCUCCAGCCCCAGGUGAACUUGCGACAAUCCAAAACAGAACCCUACACACCCAGGUGAGCAUCUGACAGCCAAGGAUGGCACCCCACACACCUAGGGGAGCAUCUUACAGCCUGGAACAGCACCCCACACCCCCAGGUGAGUAGCUGACAGCCUGGGAAUGCACCCCCACACCCAGUUGAGCAUCUGAAACCCUAUAGCACCACCCCCGACCAACAGGUGAAAAUCUUACAGCCUGGAACGGCACCUUCCACCCCCAGGUGAGCAUCUUCCAGCCUGAAACAGCACCCCACACCCCCAGGUGAGUGUCUUACAGCCUGGAACGGUAUCCAUACCCGCAGAUGAGUGUGUGACAGCCUAGAACAGCAUUCUCCAACCCCAGGUGAGCUUGUGACAAUCUGGAACAGGACCCCACAACCCCAGGUGAGCAUCUGACAGCCUAAAACAGCACCCUCCACCCUUAGGUGAUCAUUUGACAGCCAGGAAUGACAACCCACAUAAGCAUCUGACAGCCUAGAACGGCACCCCCCAGUUAGGUGAGAAUCUGAAUGCCUGGAUCAACGCUCAAACCUUCAGGUGAGCAUCUGACAGCCUGGAACAGCAGUGCCCACACCCAGGUGAGCAUCUGAAACCCUCCAGCAGCACUCACCACUCCAAGGUGAGCAUUUGACAGCCUGGAACAGCACCCUUCAUGUUCAGGUGAGCAUCUGAUAGUUUUGUUUUAUGUUGAGAUGGGGUCUCUCUCUGUCGCCCAGGCUACAGGCCAGUGGUGCGAUCUUGGCUCACUGCAACCACCACCCCCAGGUUUAAUCGAUUCUCCUGCCUCAGCCUCCUGAGUAGCUGCGACUACAGGCUGAUUUUUGUAUUUUUAGUAGAGACGGGGUUUCACCAUGUUGACCAGGCUGGUCUUGAACUCCUGGUGAUCCACCCACCUCGGCCUCCCAAAGUGCUGGGAUUACAAGCACAAGUCAUCGCACCUGGCUGAUCAUCUGACAGUUUUAAAUGGCACCUCACACCCUCAGGUGAGCAUCUGACAGCCUGGAAUGGCACUCUGCAUCCCCAAGUGAGCUUCUGACAGCCUGGAAUGGCACUCUGCAUCCCCAGGUGAGCAUCUGACAGCCUGGAAUGGCACUCUACACCCUCAGGUGAGCAUCUGACAGCGUGGAAUGGCACUCUACAUCCCCAGGUGAGCAUCUGACAGCCUGGAAUGGCACUCUACAUCCCCAGGUGAGCUUCUGACAGCCUGGAAUGGCACUCUACACCCUCAGGUGAGCUUCUGACAGCCUGGAAUGGCACUCUGCAUCCCCAGGUGAGCAUCUGACAGCCUGGAAUGGCACUCUACACCCUCAGGUGAGCAUCUGACAGCGUGGAAUGGCACUCUACAUCCCCAGGUGAGCAUCUGACAGCCUGGAAUGGCACUCUGCAUCCCCAGGUGAGCUUCUGACAGCCUGGAAUGGCACUCUACACCCUCAGGUGAGCUUCUGACAGCCUGGAAUGGCACUCUACACCCUCAGGUGAGCAUCUGACAGCCUGGAAUGGCACUCUACAUCCCCAGGUGAACUUCUGACAGCCUGGAAUGGCACCCCACACCCUCAGGUGAGCAUCUGACAGCCUGGAAUGGCACUCUACAUCCCCAGGUGAGCAUCUGACAGCCUGGAAUGGCACUCUACAUCCCCAGGUGAGCAUCUGACAGCCUGGAACAGCACCUCACACCCACAGGUGAGUGUGUGACAGCCUGGAAUAGCAUUCUCCAACCCCAGGUGAGCUUGUGACAAUCUGGAACAGGACCCCACUACCCCAGGUGAGCAUGUGAUAGCCGAAAACAGCACCCUCCACCCCCAGGGGAUCAUCUGAUAGCCAAGAAUGGCACUACUACCCUGAGGUGAGAAUCUGACAGCCUGGAUCAGCACUUCGACCUUCAAGUGAGUAUCUGAGAGCCUGGAACAGCACCCCACACCCCCAGGUGAGCAUCUGACAGUCGGGAACAGCACCUCACACCCACAGAUGAGACUCUGACAACGUAGAAUGUCACUCUCACCCCCAGGUGAGCAUCUGAAACUCUGGAUCAGCUCUCCCCCAUGCAAGGUGAGCAUCUGACAGCAGGGAACAGCACUUGACACCCCCAGGUGAGCCUCUGACAGCCUGAAACCAGACCCACACCACAGGUGAGCAGCUGACAGACUGCAACAGCACCCCACACCAUCAAGCGAGCAUCAGACAGCCCUAAAUGACACCCCAGCCCCCCAGGUGAGCAUCACACCAUCCAAAUGGCACCCCAAAUCCCCAAUAAGCAUCUGAUAGCCUGAAACAGCACUCCACACCUUCAGGGGGGCAUCUGACAGCCUAGAACGGUAUCCCACACCCCCAGGUAAGCAUCAGAAAGCCUGGAAUGGCACCCCAAACCCCCAGGUGAGCAACUUUGCAGCCUGGGACAGUACCCUCCACCACCAGGUGAGCACUUCACAGCCUAAAACUGCACCUCACAGGCCAAGGUGAGCAUCUGACUGCCUGGAACGGCACUCACACCCCGAGGUGAAUGUGUGACAGCCUGAAACAGCAUUCUCCAAUCCCAGGCGAGGAUCUGACAACCUGGAAUAGAACUCCACACUGGCAGGUGAGCAUCUGACAGCAUUGAAUGGCACCCACACCCAUAGAUGAGUAUGGGACAGACUGGAGCAGCAUUCUCUAGCCCCAGGUGAACUUGUGACAAUCCGAAACAGAACCCCACACACGCAGGUAAGCAUCUGACAGCCAAGGACGGCACCCCACACACCCAGGUGAGCAUCUGACAGCCUAGAAUGGCACCACCACACUUAGGUGAGAAUCUGACAGCCUGGAUCAGCACUUCAAUUUUCAGCUGAGUGUCUGAGAGCCUGGAACAGCACCCCACACCUCCCGGUGAUUAUCUGACAGCCUAGAACAGCACCCUCCACCCCCAGAUGAGCAUCUUACAGCCGGAAAAACACCCUCCACCACCAGGUGAUCAUCGGACAGCCUGGAAUGGUACCACCACUUAGGGGAGCAUCUGACAGCCUGAAGCAGCAUCUUCCACCUCUAAGUGAGCAUCUGACGGUCUGGAGCAUCAUCCACACCCCCAGGUGAGCAUCUGACGGUCUGGAGCAGAACCCACACGCCCAGGCGAGCAUCUGACAGCCUGGAGCAGCACCCACACCACCAGGCGACCAUCUGACAGCCUGGAGCAGCACCCACAACCCCAGGUGAGCAUCUGACAGUCUGGAGCAGAAUUCUCCAACCCCAGGUGAGCAUCUGACAACCUGGAGCAGCACCCACACCCCCAGGUGAGCAUCUGACAGUCUAGAGCAGCAUCCACACCCCCAGGCGAGCAUCUGACAGCCUGGAGCAGCACCCACACCCCCAGGCGAGCAUCUGACGGCCUGGAGCAGCACCCACACCCCCAGGCGAGCAUCUGACGGCCUGGAGGAGCACCCACACACACAGGUGAGCAUCUGACGGCCUGGAGCAGCACCCACACCCACAGGUGAGCAUCUGACAGCCUGGAGCAGCACCCACACCCCCAGGCGAGCAUCUGACGGCCUGGAGCAGCACCCACACCCCCAGGCGAGCAUCUGACGGCCUGGAGGAGCACCCACACCCACAGGUGAGCAUCUGAUGGCCUGGAGCAGCACCCACACCCACAGGUGAGCAUCUGACAGCCUGGAGCAGCACCCACACCCACAGGUGAGCGUCUGACAGCCUGGAACAGCACCCACACCCCAGGUGAGCAUCCGACUGCCUGGUACACCACUCACACCCCGAGGUGAGCAUCCAACAGCCUGGAGUAGCACCCACACCCCCAGGCGAGCAUCCGACUGCCUGGUACACCACUCACACACACAGGUGAGCAUCCAACAGCCUGGAAUAGCACCCUGCACCCCCAGGCGAGCAUCCGACAGCCUGGAACAGCACCCACACCCCCAGGUGAGCCUUCGACAGCCUGGAGCAGCACCCACAGCCCCAGGCGACAAUCUGACAGCGUGGAGCAGGACCAACACCCCCAGGUGAGCAUCUGACAGCCUGGAGCAGCACCCUGCACCCCCAGGUUAGCAUCUGACAGACUGGAACAGCACCCACACCUCCAGGUGAGCAUCCGACAGCCUGGAACAGCAACCACACCCCCAGGUGAGCAUCUGACGGCCUGAAACAGCACCCAAACCCCCAGGUGAGCAUCUGACGGCCUGGAACAGCACCCACAACCCCAGGUGAGCAUCCCACAGCCUGGAGCAGCAGCCACACCCCCAGGCAAGCAUCUGACAGCCUGGAGCAGCACCCAAACCCCCAGGCGAGCAUCUGACAGCCUGGAGCAGCGCCCACACCCCCAGGUGAGCAUCUCACCGCCUGGAGCAGCGCCCACACCCCCAGGGGAGCAUCUGACCGCAUGGAGCAGCACGCACACCCACAGGCGAGCCUCUGACCGUAUGGAGCAGCACCCACACCCCCAGGCGAGCAUCUGACCGCAUGGAGCAGCACUCACACCCGAGGCGAGCAUCUGACCCCAUGGAGCAGCACCAACACCCCCAGGCGAGCAUCUCACCACCUGGAGCAGCGCCCACACCCCCAGGGGAGCAUCUGACCGCAUGGAGCAGCACGCACACCCACAGGCGAGCCUCUGACCGCAUGGAGCAGCACUCACACCCGAGGCGAGCAUCUGACCCCAUGGAGCAGCACCAACACCCCCAGGCGAGCAUCCCACAGCCUGGAGCAGCACCCACACCCCCUGGCAAGCAUUCGACAGCCUGGAGCAGCACCCACACACCCAGGCGAGCACCCGACAGACUGGAGCAGCACCCACACCCCAGGCGAGCAUUUGACAGCCUGGAGCAGCGCCCACAUCCCUAGGCGAGCAUCCGACAGCCUGGAGCAGCACCUACACCGCCAGGUGAGCAUCUGACAGCCUGAAACAGCACCCACACCCCCAGGUGACCAUCUGACAGCCUGCAACAGCACCCACACCCCCAGGUGACCAUCUGACAGCCUGAAACAGCACCCAUACCCCCAGGCGAGCAUCCGACAGCCUGGAGCAGCACCCACACCCCCAGGUGAGCAUCCGACAGCCUGAAACAGCACCCACACCCCCAGGUGACCAUCUGACAGCCUGGAACAGCACACUGCAACCCCUGGUGAGCGUCUGACAGCCUGGAACAGCACCCACACACCCAGGUGAGCAUCUGACAGCCUGAAACAGCACCCACACCCCCAGGUGACCAUCUGACAGCCUGGAACAGCAAACUGAACACCCAGGUGAGCAUCUGACCACCCGGAACAGCACCCACACCCCCAGGUGAGCAUCUGACAGCCUGGAACAGCACCCACACCCCCAGGUGAGCAUCCGACAGCCUGGAGCAGCACCCACACCACUAGGGGAGCAUCUGACAGCCUGGAACAGCACCCACACCCCCAGGCGAGCAUCUGACAGCCUGGAGCAGCACCCCACACCCCCAGGUGAGCAUCUGACAGCCUGGAACAGAACCCACACCCCCAGGUGAGCAUCUGACAGGCUGGAACAGCACCCACACCCCCAGGUGAGCAUCCGACAGCCUGGAGGAGCGCCCACACCCCCAGGGGAGCAUCUGACCGCAUGGAGCAGCACCCACACACACAGGCGAGCAUCUGACAGCCUGGAGCAGCAACCACACCCCCAGGCGAGCAUCUGACAGCCUGGAGCAGCGCCCACAACCCCAGGUGUGCAUUUGACAGCCUGUAGCAGCGCCCAAACCCCCAGGUGAGCAUCUGAGAGCCUGGCGCAGCGUCCACACCCCCAGGCGAGUAUCUGUCAGCCUGGAGCAGCGCCCACACCCCCAGGCGAGCAUCUGACCGCAUGGAGCAGCGCCCACACCCGCAGGCGAGCAUAUGACCGCAUGGAGUAGCGCCCACACCCCCAGGCGAGCAUCUGACCGCAUGGAGCAGCGCCCACACCCCCAGGCGAGCAUCUGACCGCAUGGAGCAGCACCCACACCCACAGGCGAGCAUCUGACCGCACGGAGCAGCACUCACACCCCAGGCGAGCAUAUGACCUUAUGGAGCAGCACCAACACCCCCAGGCGAGCAUCCCACAGCCUGGAGCAGCACCCACAGCCCCAGGUGAGCAUCUGACAGCCUGGAGCAGCAACCACACCCCCAGGCGAGCAUCUGACAGCCUGGAGCAGCGCCCACAACCCCAGGUGUGCAUUUGACAGCCUGUAGCAGCGCCCAAACCCCCAGGUGAGCAUCUGAGAGCCUGGCGCAGCGUCCACACCCCCAGGCGAGUAUCUGUCAGCCUGGAGCAGCGCCCACACCCCCAGGCGAGCAUCUGACCGCAUGGAGCAGCACCCACACCCGCAGGCGAGCAUAUGACUGCAUGGAGUAGCGCCCACACCCCCAGGCGAGCAUCUGACCGCAUGGAGCAGCGCCCACACCCCCAGGCGAGCAUCUGACCGCAUGGAGCAGCGCCCACACCCCCAGGCGAGCAUCCGACAGCCUGGAAAAGCGCCCAUAUCCCUAGGCGAGCAUCCGACCGCCUGGAGCAGCGCCCACACACCCAGGGGCGCAUCCGACAGCCUGGAGCAGCACCCACAUCCCUAGGCGAGCAUCUGACAGCAUGGAGCAGCACCGACACCCCCUGGUGAGCAUUGGACAGCCUGGAGCAGCACCCACACACCCAGGCAAGCAUCCGACAGCCUGGAGCAGCACCCACACCCUAGGCGAGCGUUUGACAGCCUGGAGCAGCACCCACAUGCCUAGGCGAGCAUCCGACAGCCUGGAGCAGCACCCACACCCCCAGGCCAGGAUCUGACAGCCUGGAGCAGCGCCAACACCCACAGGCGAGCAUCUGACGGCGUGAAGCAGCGCCCAAACCCCCAGGCGAGCAUCUGACAGCCUGGAGCAGCGCCCACACCCCCAGGUGAGCAUCUGACAGCCUGAAGCAGUGCCCACACCCCCAGGCGAGCAUCUGACAGCCUGGAGCAGCGCCCACACCCCCAGAUGAGCAUCUGACAGCCUGGAGCAGUGCCCACACCCCCAGGCGAGCAUCUGACAGCCUGGAGCAGUGCCCACACCCCCAGGUGAGCAUCUGACAGCCUGGAGCAGCACCCACACACCCAGGCGAGCAUCCGACAGCCUGGAGCAGCACCCACACCCACAGGCGAGCAUCCGACAGCCUGGAGCAGCACCCACAACCCCAGGCGAGCAUCCGACAGCUGGGAGCAUCACCCACACCCCCAGGCGAGCAUCCGACAGCCUGGAGCAGCACCCACACCCCCAGGCGAGCAUCUGACAGCCUGGAGCAGCAGCCACACCCCCAGGCGAGCAUCUGACAGCCUGGAGCAGCACCCACAUCCCCAGGCGAGCAUCUGACAGCCUGGAGCAGUGCCCACACCCCCAGGUGAGCAUAUGACCACCUGGAGCAGCACCCACACCCCCAGGCGAGCAUCUGACAGCCUGGAAUAGCACCCCACAUGUCCAGGUGAGCCUCUGACAGCCUGGAGCAGCACCCACUCCCCCAGGCGAGCAUCUGACUGCAUGGAACAGUACCCCCCACCCCCAGGUGAGCAUCUGACUGCCCGGAACAGCAACCACACCCCCAGGUGAGCAUCUGACAGCCUGGAACAGCACCCCACACCCCCAGGGGAGCAUCUGACAUCCUGGAACAGUACCCCACACUUCCAGGUGAGCAUCUGACAGCCUGGAACAGCACCCCAUACCCCCAAGUGAGCAUCUGACAUCCUGGAACGGCACCCCACACCCCCAGGUGAGGAUCUGACAGCCUGGAACAGCACCCACACCCCCAGGUGAGCAUCUGACAGCCUGGAAACAGCACUCUGCCCACCCAGGUGAGCAUCUGACAGCCUGGAGCAGCACCCACACCCCGAGGUGAGCAGCUGACAGCCUGGAGCAGCACCCACACCCUCAGGUGAGCAUGUGACCGCCUGGAGCAGCACCCAGACCCCCAGGCGAGCAUCCGACCGCAUGGAGCAGCAUUCCACACCCCAGGCGAGCAUUUGACAGCCUGGAGCAGCACCCACAUCCCUAGGCGAGCAUCCGACAGCCUGGAGCAGCACCCACACCCCCAGGCCAGGAUCUGACAGCCUGGAGCAGCGCCAACACCCACAGGCGAGCAUCUGACAGCCUGGAGCAGCGCCUAAACCCCCAGGCGAGCAUCUGACAGCCUGGAGCAGCGCCCACACCCCCAGGUGAGCAUCUGACAGGCUGGAGCAGCACCCACACCCCCAGGCGAGCAUCUGACAGCCUGGAGCAGCACCCACACCCCCAGGUGAGCAUCUGACAGCCUGAAACAGCACCCACACCCCCAGGUGACCGUCUGACAGCCGGGAACAGCACCCACACCCCCAGGUGAGCAUCUGACCGCCCGGAACAGCAACCACACCCACAGGUGAGCAUCUGACAGCCUGGAACAGCAAACUGAACACCCAGGUGAGCAUCUGGCAGUAUGGAACAGCACCCACACCCCCAGGCGAGCAUCUGACAGCCUGGAACAGCACCCACACACCCAGGUGAGCAUCUGACAGCCUGGAACAGCACCCACACCCCCAGGUGAGCAUCCGAUAGCCUGGAGCAGCACCCACACCGCUAGGUGAGCAUCUGAGAGCCUGGAACAGCACCCACACCCCCAGGCGAGCAUCUGACAGCCUGGAACAGAACCCAAACCCCCCAGGUGAGCAUCUGACAGGCUGGAAUAGCACCCACACCCCCAGGUGAGCAUCCGACCACCUGGAGCAGCACGCGCAACCCGAGGCGAGCAUAUCACAGUCUGGAACAGCACCCACACCCUCAGGUGAGAAUCCGACAGCCUGAAGCAGCACCCACACCCCCAGGGGAGCAUCUGACAGUCUGGAGCAGCACCCACACAACCAGGCGAGCAUCGGACAGCCUGGAGCAGCACCCACACCCCCAGGCGAGCAUUCGACAGCCUGGAGCAGCACCCACAUCCCUAGGCGAGCAUCCGACAGCCUGGAGCAGCACCCACACCCCCAGGCCGGGAUCUGACAGCCUGGAGCAGCGCCAACACCCACAGGCGAGCAUCUGACAGCCUGGAGCAGCGCCCAGACCCCAAGGCGAGCAGCUGACAGCCUGGAGCAGCACCCACACCCCCAGGUGAGCAUCUCACUGCCUGGAGCAGCGCCCACACCCCCAGGGGAGCAUCUGACCGCAUGGAGCAGCACCCACACCCCGAGGUGAGCAGCUGACAGCCUGGAGCAGCACCCACACCCUCAGGUGAGCAUGUGACCGCCUGGAGCAGCACCCAGACCCCCAGGCGAGCAUCCGACCGCAUGGAGCAGCAUUCCACACCCCAGGCGAGCAUUUGACAGCCUGGAGCAGCACCCACAUCCCUAGGCGAGCAUCCGACAGCCUGGAGCAGCACCCACACCCCCAGGCCAGGAUCUGACAGCCUGGAGCAGCGCCAACACCCACAGGCGAGCAUCUGACAGCCUGGAGCAGCGCCUAAACCCCCAGGCGAGCAUCUGACAGCCUGGAGCAGCGCCCACACCCCCAGGUGAGCAUCUGACAGGCUGGAGCAGCACCCACACCCCCAGGCGAGCAUCUGACAGCCUGGAGCAGCACCCACACCCCCAGGUGAGCAUCUGACAGCCUGAAACAGCACCCACACCCCCAGGUGACCGUCUGACAGCCGGGAACAGCACCCACACCCCCAGGUGAGCAUCUGACCGCCCGGAACAGCAACCACACCCACCGGUGAGCAUCUGACAGCCUGGAACAGCAAACUGAACACCCAGGUGAGCAUCUGACAGUAUGGAACAGCACCCACACCCCCAGGCGAGCAUCUGACAGCCUGGAACAGCACCCACACACCCAGGUGAGCAUCUGACAGCCUGGAACAGCACCCACACCCCCAGGUGAGCAUCCGAUAGCCUGGAGCAGCACCCACACCGCUAGGUGAGCAUCUGAGAGCCUGGAACAGCACCCACACCCCCAGGCGAGCAUCUGACAGCCUGGAACAGAACCCAAACCCCCCAGGUGAGCAUCUGACAGGCUGGAAUAGCACCCACACCCCCAGGUGAGCAUCCGACCAGCUGGAGCAGCACGCGCAACCCGAGGCGAGCAUAUCACAGUCUGGAACAGCACCCACACCCUCAGGUGAGAAUCCGACAGCCUGAAGCAGCACCCACACCCCCAGGGGAGCAUCUGACAGUCUGGAGCAGCACCCACACAACCAGGCGAGCAUCGGACAGCCUGGAGCAGCGCCCACACCCCCAGGUGAGCAUCUCAACGCCUGGAGCAGCGCCCACACCCCCAGGCGAGCAUUCGACAGCCUGGAGCAGCGCCCACAUCCCCAGGGGAGCAUCCGACAGCCUGGAGCAGCACCCACACCCACAGGCGAGCAUCCGACAGUCGGGAGGAGCACCCACACCCCCAGUCGAGCAUCUGACAGCCUGGAGCAGAAUUCUCCAACCCCAGGUGAGCACCUGACAGCCUGGAGCAGCACCCACACCCCCAGGUGAGCAUCUGGCAGUCUAGAGCAGCAUCCACACCCCCAGGCGAGCAUCUGACAGCCUGGAGUAGCACCCACACCCCCAGGCGAACAUCCAACAGCCUGGAGCAGCACCCACACCCACAGGUGAGCAUCCGACAGCCUGGAGCAGCAUUCCACACGCCCAGGUGAGCAUCUGACAGUCUAGAGCAGCACCCACACCCCCAGGCCAGCAUCCGACAGCCUGGAGCAGCACCCACACCCCCAGGUGAGCAUCUGAGGCCUGGAGCAGCACCCACACCCCUAGGCGAGCAUCUGACGGCCUGGAGCAGCACCCACACCCCCAGGCGAGCAUCUGACGGCCUGGAGCAGCGCCCACACCCCCAGGCGAUCAUCUGACCACAUGGAGCAGCACCCACACCCCCAGGCGAGCAUCUGACCGCAUGGAGCAGCGCCCACACCCCCAGGCGAGCAUCUGACCGCAUGGAGCAGCGCCCAAACCCCCAGGUGAGCAUCUGAGAGCGUGGAGCAGCGCCCACACCCCCAGGCGAGUAUCUGACAGCCUGGAGCAGCACCCACAACCCCAGGUGAGCAUCUGACAGUCUGGAGCAGAAUUCUCCAACCCCAGGUGAGCAUCUGACAGCCUGGAGCAGCACCCACACCGCCACGGGAGCAUCCGACAGCCUGGAGCAGCACCCACACCCACAGGCGAGCAUCCGACAGGCUGGAGCAGCACCCACACGCCCAGGCGAGCAUCCGACAGCGCGGAGCAGCACCCACACCCACAGGCGAGCAUCCGACAGCCUGGAGCAGCACCCACAACCCCAGGCGCGCAUCUGACAGCCGGGAGCAUCACCCUGCAUACCCAGGUAAGCAUCUGACAAACUGGAACAGCACCCACACCCCCAGGCGAGCAUCUGACAGCCUGGAGCAGCACCUACUCCCUUAGGUGAGCAUCUGACAGCCUUGAGAACUGCCCACACCCUCAGGCGAGCAUCUGACAGCCUGGAGCAGCACCCACACCCCGAGGUGAGCAGCUGACAGCCUGGAGCAGCACCCACACCCUCAGGUGAGCAUGUGACCGCCUGGAGCAGCACCCAGACCCCAAGGCGAGCAUCCGACCGCAUGGAGCAGCAUUCCACACCCCAGGCGAGCAUUUGACAGCCUGGAGCAGCACCGACAUCCCUAGGCGAGCAUCCGACAGCCUGGAGCAGCACCCACACCCCCAGGCCAGGAUCUGACAGCCUGGAGCAGCGCCAACACCCACAGGCGAGCAUCUGACAGCCUGGAGCAGCGCCCAAACCCCCAGGCGAGCAUCUGACAGCCUGGAGCAGCGCCCACACCCCCAGGUGAGCAUCUGACAGGCUGGAG
Long non-coding RNA from Pan troglodytes (chimpanzee), 15200 nucleotides. RefSeq lists it as uncharacterized. The transcript has 3 exons. NCBI's taxonomy places the organism in Eukaryota, Metazoa, Chordata, Mammalia, Primates, Hominidae. The record is from RefSeq and is a predicted model, not a curated record.